This 468-nucleotide ribosomal RNA is filed under the name uncultured bacterium. Its description in RNAcentral is "partial 16S ribosomal RNA". It matches the Rfam family "Bacterial small subunit ribosomal RNA", at positions 28 to 507 of the family's 1533-position model. The record is from RNAcentral.
GAUGAACGCUGGCGGCGUGCUUAACACAUGCAAGUCGAACGGUGAAGGCGGAGCUUGCUCUGCUGGAUCAGUGGCGAACGGGUGAGUAACACGUGAGCAAUCUGCCCCUGACUCUGGGAUAAGCGCUGGAAACGGCGUCUAAUACUGGAUACGAGCUGCGAAGGCAUCUUCAGCAGCUGGAAAGAACUUCGGUCAGGGAUGAGCUCGCGGCCUAUCAGCUUGUUGGUGAGGUAACGGCUCACCAAGGCGUCGACGGGUAGCCGGCCUGAGAGGGUGACCGGGCACACUGGGAAUAGGACACGGCCCAGACUCCAACGGGAGGCAGCAGUGGAGAAUAUUGUACAAUGGGCCAAAGCCUGAUGCAGCAACGCCGCGUGAGGGACGACGGCCUUCGGGUUGUAAGCCUCUUUUAGCAGGGAAGAAGCGAAAGUGACGGUACCUGCAGAAAAAGCGCCGGCUAACUACGUG